ACUGAUUUCUGACUAACAAUACAUUUGCAAAGAACACAAUAUUUUAUUAUUUGUUUCUUAUUUAAAAUUUUCUUUCGUUUCGUUUAGUUCAAUGGUUACAAAUUGUAUUUACGCUGAAUGUAUUGGAACGCGUUCCGAUGACGCGCAGUGUGAAAUCCUUUUGGUGUAAACAAACAUUGUGAUUUCUGUUCCGUAAGUCUUGAAUGUAAACAUAUUGUCUCACAACAUGUCGAUAAGUAAUCAUUGUUACAUUUUGGUAAUAGAAAAACGUGCUUAAAGAGAAUUUUGUUGCCCUUUUUAUUUACGAUCGAAAAUGUGUAAGUUCAUUUUAUUUUCAAUCAAAAUCAAUUAGUAAAUAAACCAAUAAAUUUCAUCAUACAUCGGUAAUAUCGGUAUUAUUCGUAGGUAUCGUAUUUUACGAGCAUAAAAUAACAUAUCGUAAUUACUGAUAAAUAACAUGCUAAAAUCAUUUCACACAUGGCCCGAUUUCAUUUGUAUGUAGGUAUCUCUUGCUAAUUAAAUUUAAAAAAUGUAAUUCAUAUUAUUUUAUAACUGAUUAUAAUAAUUAAUUAGAUUGGUUCUCAAUCGACUAUUUUUUUUUAGAUUCGUCUUUUCAUUAUUUGAUUAAAUUGUAAAAAAAUAAGGUGAUUAGAAUUCUUUUUUUGAGAAUUAUUAUAGUCUCGCUCGUUUCAUUUGCCAUUUUGUAUAUAAAUUCAAUAUACUUGCAUCAUUUAGUUUUAUACUUAGUUCAGUAUACUUAAAUUGAAAAAGUUAGGUACUUAUUCAAAAUAAUUAAUGUUAAGAUUAAAAACUGUUUUUUAAAUUUUUCAGGCGAUUAGUUACUAUGUUUUAUUUGAAUCCAAA
Cinara cedri is the source of this 864-nucleotide non-coding RNA. The record is from the annotation of a GenBank genome assembly. NCBI's taxonomy places the organism in Eukaryota, Metazoa, Arthropoda, Insecta, Hemiptera, Aphididae.